This 313-nucleotide unclassified non-coding RNA is filed under the name Englerodendron gabunense. RNAcentral's name for it is "partial contains external transcribed spacer and 18S ribosomal RNA". Lineage: Eukaryota; Viridiplantae; Streptophyta; Magnoliopsida; Fabales; Fabaceae. The record is from RNAcentral.
UUUNGUUUGCCCCUUCCCAUCCAGCACUCCUCGCGGGUCGUUGGAGGGCCACACAGUGGUCCCUGUGCUCCUCGAGAGCGUCGUGUCGACGUCGGCUCUCAAGGGCCACGGGGAUCCACUGCUCUCACGGAUGCGGUUUAUGUGGUGGUCGCGUGACAGACGUCACGUCCGUCCACGCAAAAAUUCGGUUUGCCAGAACGAUGUCCGUGCUCGCGUCGGGUCGCCUCGCCCGGCCUGGCGAUCCCGUGCGAUGCCCGGCAUCAGGAAGGAAUGCUACCUGGUUGAUCCUGCCAGUAGUCAUAUGCUUGUCUCA